AGAUAGCAGAAACAGUUGGGAAGCUGUUCCAAAGAGGGUGACAGGCCCGUAUGCGAAAUCUUGUACUCUCUAAUCAGGAUCCUGAGUACGGCCCAGCACGUGAAAUUGGGUCGGAAUCUGGGAGGACCAUCUCCCAAGGCUAAAUACUAACUAGUGACCGAUAGCGAACAAGUACCGUGAGGGAAAGGUGAAAAGAACCCCGGAAGGGGAGUGAAAUAGUUCUUGAAACCGUGUGCUUACAAGAAGUUCGAGGCCGUUAAUGGCUGAGAGCGUGCUUUUUGUAGAAUGAACCGGAGAGUUACGAUUGCGUGCAAGGUUAAGGUGCAAAGACUGGAGCCGUAGCGAAAGCGAGUCUUAAUAGGGCGAAUCAGUACGUAGUUGUAGACCCGAAACCGAGUGACCUAUCCAUGGUCAGGUUGAAGGUGGGGUAAUACCUACUGGAGGACCGAACAAGUGGGUGUUAAAAAACCCUUUGAUGAACUGUGGAUAGCGGUGAAAUUCCAAUCGAACUCGGAGAUAGCUGGUUCUAUCCGAAAUACAUUUA
This 544-nucleotide ribosomal RNA is filed under the name Oenococcus oeni. RNAcentral's name for it is "bacterial LSU rRNA". It matches the Rfam family "Bacterial large subunit ribosomal RNA", at positions 327 to 872 of the family's 2925-position model. The record is from RNAcentral. Lineage: Bacteria; Bacillati; Bacillota; Bacilli; Lactobacillales; Lactobacillaceae.